AGUGUCUAUUCCCUAUAAAGUGCC
This 24-nucleotide non-coding RNA is filed under the name Arabidopsis thaliana (thale cress). Lineage: Eukaryota; Viridiplantae; Streptophyta; Magnoliopsida; Brassicales; Brassicaceae. The record is from RNAcentral.